Molecule: ribosomal RNA, 253 nt
Filed under: uncultured bacterium
Lineage: Bacteria
Description: partial 16S ribosomal RNA
Rfam family: Bacterial small subunit ribosomal RNA
Source: RNAcentral
UACGUUGGGUGCGAGCGUUGUCCGGAAUUAUUGGGCGUAAAGGGCUCGUAGGCGGUCUGUCACGUCGGGAGUGAAAACUCAGGGCUUAACCCUGAGCCUGCUUCCGAUACGGGCAGACUAGAGGUAUGCAGGGGAGAACGGAAUUCCUGGUGUAGCGGUGAAAUGCGCAGAUAUCAGGAGGAACACCAGCGGCGAAGGCGGCGCUCUGGGCCGGAACUGACGCUGAGGAGCGAAAGCGUGGGGAGCAAACAGG